This is a long non-coding RNA of Prionailurus viverrinus (fishing cat), 6800 nucleotides long. RefSeq lists it as uncharacterized. NCBI's taxonomy places the organism in Eukaryota, Metazoa, Chordata, Mammalia, Carnivora, Felidae. The transcript has 12 exons. The record is from RefSeq and is a predicted model, not a curated record.
GUUUUACAGUUGCAAAUUUCCAUUCUUUUUGCCCCUGUGGGCACACAUUGCUGCCGUUCCUUUUUCUGUGGACAGAUCAUGCCAGGGCUUUUGGAAGAUUACCCUGGAACAUCUAGAUCAGCCCAGUGUAAUCACAAGAACCCUUAAAAGUGGAAGAUGGAAUCAAAAGAGAGAACCAGAGAUAGCACUGUAAGAAGGACUGGCCUCAAUGUUACUGGCUUUGAAGAUGUGGGAAUGGGGCCAUGGACCCAAGAAUCAGGCCCCCUUUAGAAGCUGGAAAAAGCAAGGAAAUGGAUUCUGUCCUAGAACAUUCAGAAGGAAUGCAGUCCUGCUAACACCUUUAUUUUAGCAUGGCUGACAUUCAACUUAUUUCAGCCAUUGAGGUCAGCUGGAGAUCCUGACCAGCGUUAGUGACCUGCUGUCCCUGCUGUGGCCCUGUGUCUGGAGGUGAUCCAAGGAGACCCCGUUCAUCAUUUCUCUCUGCACCUACACCUCAUUUGAGAAUCUUCAUGUGGGGUAGAGAGGGAAAUCAUCCGAAGGUCAUGCAGUAUUCCAAACUGUCAGAUAUUAUUGAAGAUCAAAGGGCAAGAUUAUUGAUGUCCAAAUUGAUUGGCUUUCUUGGCAUCAUGAUUCCAGAGCCACUAAACUGAUAAAAUCAAAAGGCAGCAUAAUCAAGACCAACUUAGAAAGGUUAGCUGUGGUCAGAAGAAAUUUAUGAAGAGUGGCUAUUAAGAGAGAGAGCACAUGUAUGCAGACUGUGUUUAAUAAUGUGGCUAUUCAGCCUGCGUUCAUGUGACUCAUGAGUGACCUAAGCAGUUUCUUCACAAAGCACACAUGGAGAGCACAGACACAGAGGCAAGUUGGGGGAGAGCCCUGGCAGGUAAAUUUUCUGCGCUCAGUGACCUGGGAACAGGAAUGAAAAAUCCUACUGCUCUUUUGGGAGAAAGGCUAAAAUUCACAGGUGGCAAUCCUUGCUCAGGACAUUUUGAUUGCUGAGGGCACGUUCUAACUUUCGGUCCAGCUAUGUCUAUUGGCCUGUCAGGCAUACCUCAGGUGUCAUACAAUGGGUUCCACUUCAGUACAGUGACCCCAUUCUCUACCACUGGGGUGUGAGAGUACAGGAUUUAGGAUACCACUCACUGGAGACUAUGUCCCCAGCUCCAGACAUAACUUCAUCUAAUUAUUCCAAACAAAUGCCUGUUCUGUGGGCUCUCUUGCCUUACACAUCAAGUCCCAGUGACUUCCAGAGAUGGUAACCACACGAAUCAAUAUUGCCAUUGUGUUAGAUGUAGCACUCCCUGCCAGAAAUCCGUCUCACUGUGAUGAUUACGUAAAAGGUUCUUAGAUGGUUUUCUCGCCACAAUCCUUGACUCUAGGGUUAGAUAAAGUUACCUGAAAAGGUCACCUUAUUCAGGUGACUAUAUGCAAGAAUCAUCUGAGGCCAGUGUAGUAUGAAACAUGUUUAAUGCCCUAUACAGCAUGGGCACCAGGCAAUCCAAAUGGAGGCUGGCCAAUGAGCCGAAUGUAUCAGCCCUGCCAAAGAACUACCUACGUGAGCGGUGAUCUCAGCCUCCAGUUCCCCUCACGAUCUUUAGAUUAAAUGAUCACUUUUCAGAGUUUUUGUGUGUCAUCUCAUCUAUUUCAACAGGUUACCUCCCUUUUUUCUAAGGGAGGUAAGUGACGUGCUGAAGGUCAGAGGUAAUCCAAAUAAAUUCUGGAACCCCAUGUGCUCCAAUCUGGAUAUGUUGUCUCAGGCAUAGAAACACAACCUAGAAAACCAAAAGUAACCGUACAUCUUUCAAACCUUUUAUCAGUUCUUCCAGGAAAUGACAAAGAGGAACGCGUGUUCUUAAUAAACAGCUAAAGUUAUCAUCUUUUCUCUCCACUGCUUCCUUCCUUAGCAUAUUUUACAUAGACUGCAGCUGCUCCUUUACCAGCCUAUUUUCCUCCUGUCACUCUCUCUGAAGGUCUUCCACAUGUGUGGGCUCAACAAUCCCCCUUCCACUGCUUAAGGGAGCGCAGUGAGGUCUUACCCAGCAGCCAUCUUGGCCAUGCUGCGGGAGGAGCCGGGGAACCGGAAGCCAUAUUCCCCGUGUCCCCAGCAACCUAGACCUUCAUAUUUGUUAGGGAGAGAAGCACCCAGAGCCCACCGAGAAAUGCAGUUCCUGCGGUCUGACAGAUCUGGUGACAAAUCAUUUUUGGAAAUUUCGGUAGAACAAAAUUCUGAACCUCUUUGCAUGUAUGCCUGCAAAAGCUAGAGUCCAGACCAAACCCUAGAGUUUCUGGGGUCUGUGCAAAUGGAGAGAGAAUAUGUCUCAUUUACUGCCGGCACAUAGUUAGGACACAGUAAAUAUGUAUUAAACCAGGGUAAAUUGAGAAAUAAUUUAGGAAGAAAAUGACAUUAGGAGGGACCAGGUAUUGGAUAGUUUUUGACUGUCUGCCUGCCAGCCUGCCUGCCUUUUUUUUUUUUCCCUACCAGAAUGAUUUGAAUUGACCAUCUACAUUGAAAAACUUCAUUGAUUGAUGGUUUCAUUCUUCCAUUCGCUUUGUGCAGACCCUUUGUAAUUUACUUUUAUGUUCGGUCUCUGUUUUCUCUUCCUGUCACUUUGCCCCUCUCUUUUUCACUGCUUGCCUGAGAGUAAUUUUCCAUCAUAUUGUUAUAGCCAGAGGUCUCUGACAGGGUGGCAGUAAAAUGACACAGCUAAGUGAUACAGAUUUUAAUGACUUAAUGCCAUAAUAAUUUCUAACAGAAACAUAAGUAGAGACAGGGGUGAUGUUUUAAAAGACAUAAAAAUGGGAAGUGGACCAUGGACAAGUUGUACCUGAGACAGAAUCGUGGCAGAAAUGGGAGCGAGACAGCUAUGCACGAAGUUGGUAGAGGCAGGCCCAUAAAACAGAUGCUGUUAGUAAAGGGGGAAAAGUCACAGAAGAGAAAAAUAUAGCAUUUUGAAAGUAUUCGAGAAAGAAAAAAAAAGAUGACAAAAAGAAAAUGUGGACUGGCUUCUUAACAGAGAAAAAGAGAAAAUAGGAAAUUACAGAAAAAGGACAGAAGGCUUGGCCUGUCUUAUGAGCCAGCCAGGCUUGGUGACAAAGGUAACAUCCCGAAGAAUACUUAAGGUAAUAAUAGUCAAUGAGGAAAGAGCACGGAGAAGCCAUGCGCCUCAGAAUGCCCAGGGUAGGAAAAUCGCUGCAGACCACAAAAGGAGAGAACAGAGGAGGGCAGGCCAGCUGGCAAUUAUUUCUGAAACCUUGUGGAGGAUUAUUAGGUUCCUAGGAAUUUGAAAAGGGAAAGAUACCAAAUUGUUAUUUUGACAGCGUGAUGAAAACGUGUUAAAGUAGGUCACAGAGAAUCUGUGGAAUUGGUGGGCUUCCUUGGCACCAAGGUAAACUCUUGGUAAAAUGAAAAAAGUGGCUAAAAGAUAAAUGCAUAGCUAACUUGCCACGGGCUCACGUGUGGGUCUCUAAGGGCCGUGGGUCAGACGUCCGCCUCUUUCCAUCCCCGCCCCCAUUGCGUGAAAGCUCACUGGUUGUUCCUCUGAAGCUGGCUACAAAUCCACCUGUGGUAGACCUAAGCGUCUCUCACCGGGGUUCCGGUUCUCUUCUCUUCUGCGCAUGCACGGAAGGACCAUACCUCCUCACCCCAGGGCAGAUGGGCAUGAACUUGUCUGGAUGGAUGCAUUCAAGGGCUCUUUCUUGCCCUGGAGACUCAAUGAUUUUAUGUCUGGAGGUUCAUAAGUCACAAGAUAUCUGGAAUUAGGUGGGAGACCAUGCUGGUGACAUUUGGAAGAACCUGGCUGGGGAAGAAUGAAGCUCAAUUAUUUUUGUCUACUUUGCUAACAAUUCAGAGUUCUGAAAAGUCUGGAUCGCACUAUGAGAAGUUUGUGUGCUUAGUGAAAUGUUGUCCAAUUGGCCAAUCCACUUGGUCUUGGGAAAUGUCCUAGAAGCUUGGCAAGAAAAUGUUCUCAAGAGAGAACAAAUGCUGCCAAUUUCCAAUUGGCCAAGACACAUUACAAGGACAACCUUCUCUCCGAGCAACCUGGCAUUUCCACUCCAAUUGGAAUCUGCAACACAAAGAUGCACGCGGGGGAAAGACUAAGUAAACAAACCUUUCAGAUUUCCGCUCCAGCCAGUUGCCUGGUACCAUGAUGUCACCUACUACUGUUUAGUUUCCAUCCACCAGGUCUACACUAGUGAAUACUCCAGGACCAGUAAAGUCACUUGUUUGCCAGCAGCAGCAGUUAUUUCUGCAUUGACCAAGCUGGUACUUUGCUCAUCAUCAAACCCAGUCCAAGUAUAGGUGGCUGCUUCUGGAAUUAACUUCCAAACGCUGGAUGGAAGUCAGGUGUGUUUUCAUCGGGUCCGUGCAAAUCCAGGCAUUGAGUUGAUGUUGUGGAUAUAACAGGAUUGAUUUCUGGCCUUUGGGGAGCCAGCACACAGACAAUGAAGCAGGAAAACAUGAUGACCUAUGAUCCACCAGAAUGGAAGCUCCAUGAAUGCAGGAUGGUGCUUUUUUCUGCUUUUGCUCACUACUGUAUCACAAGCCCUUAGGGCAUUGCCUGCAAGCAGUAGGUAAGGAUAUAGAAAAGCUUCUGAUGGAUCGAGGUGUGUUUUGACCUGCUGAUCAUGUGGGCAACUACAAAGAACAUGGACUCUGGACUCAGCUAGACCUUGGACUGAACUCUGCUCUGUUACUUGCUACUUGUGUAACCAUUGGCAAGGUAUUGAUCAUGAGUUUCCUCAUCUACAGAAUGGAGAUAAAUAUGUAAGUAUGUAUAUGAGAGAGAGAGAGAGCCUAACAUUCACAGAUAGGAAAUAAAUGGCAGCUUGUCAUAAUAAUAGCACAUUUUAGGAUGCUUUGCCCUUACAAACUUUGUUUUGCUCUGAGGUAAGUAAAGAAUAAAUGCUGAGUUCUGGUUUGGCUUGAGAAGUCAAAAGUGGACUGAUCUCAGGGCACCUGUGUGAUUCAGUCCGUUGAGCGGCCAACUCUUGAUUUCGGCUCAGGUCAUGGGCUGACAGCAUGAAGCCUGCUCUCCCUCUCUCCCUCUCUGUGCCCCUCCCCUGCUCACAUCCUCAAACAAUGUUAACUAGCCUAUUUUAUCCCUUCUUCAAAUAACCUAAGUUUUAUGUCACAUAUUUUUAACAUAAAAAUCAUCCAUAUUCCUUUUAAAUUGUGGAACGCAGUAUUAGAUGUGCUGGCAGAUCUGCUGGAUAGUUUAUCUUGGGUCGUCUUGAAUUGCCUGGGUCUCCAUCUUUGGGUCUACCUUGGCUUUGCUUGUGGGGAUGGCUACUGUUGCAUAUGCAGUUGACUGUGUUCCAUGGGUAUCCAACCUUUAUUUUUUUCCUCCUUGACCUUACGCAUAUCUGAUUCCUAUGCUUAAGAAGCAUGAGCCGUAUCUUCUUGCUCCAAAUCUCCUGGUAGGCUACAUCCAGUCUGUGUUUUCACAGGGGGACUGAUGUAGAUACAAAGAGAAAAACAAGUAUUGAGAUUAAUUUAUUAAUUUUUCAUUCACUCACUCAACAAAACUUUAUUUGAAACUUUCUAUAUGCAAAGCAUGACAAGGUGCUACAAGAAAUAUACAUGACAAGAAUACAUGUUCCAAGGCCUCAAGGACCCCAGAGUCUAGCAUACUGCCUGUGAGAUAUUAGGCCUUAUAGAGCAAUGGGAGGAAUAUUUCUCCCUUCAACUGGACCCUGCAGAGUAUGUGGAACAAUCUAAAUAGUUCUUUUCUUAAUCAGCUUGAGAGGAGAAAAGUCAACUGGGCCUUUCCCUUCUUUGAUAUUUGAGAUAUUCUUGGAAUGGUAUUUCAUUGCCCUUUGGUAGAAUAGCUCACAAAAGCCAAAUAAUACUUUGUGUAAACUAUAGACUUCCCUGAAAGAGUGUGUUGGAAAUUUUUGACUCAGCUAACUUUCUGUCCAGUUAAACACCCAACAUCAAGAAGAAAUUUGAGCAUUUGUACAAAAGUCUAACAAAUUCUUACAAAUUAGGAUAGAAUUAAAGAAAAUUAAUUAUGGUCAAUAAGCUUGUGGAAGCUUUAUUUUAUUCAGUGUAUCCCCAAAACUGAUUUUUUGUCUGGUUUUAUUGAGAUAUAAUUGACAAGCAACACUGGAUAAGUUUAAGGUGUGCAGCAUAAUGAAAAAAGACAUCUAUAUUAUGCAAUAAUUGCCACAGUAAGUUUAGUUAACAUCCAUCACCUCACAUAGUUGUGAAUUUUUUCCCCUUGUGAUCAGAACAUUUGCAUUUUACUUUCUUGACCACUUUCAAAUAUACCAUACAACAUUGUUAACUAUAGUCAUCACGUUGUACAUCACAUCCCCAAUCCUUACUUAUCUUAUAACUAGAAGUUUCCACUUUUUAACCACCUUCAGUCAAUUCCCCCACCUCUCACCUGCUUCUUGAAAUCACAAAUCUGAUCUUUUUUUUUCUAUGAGUUUGUUUGUUUGUUUUUGAUUGCACAUAUAAGUGAGAUCAUACAGUAUUUGUCUUUUUCCGUCUGACUUAUUUUAGUUAGCAUAAUGCCCUCAAGAUACAUCCACGUUGUUGCAAAUGUCAGGAUAUCCUUUUUUUCAUGGCUAAACAGUAUUCCAUGUAAAUGGGAUUAUUGAACACUUAGGUUGUUUCUAUGUCUUGGCUAUUGUAAAUAGUGCUUCAGUGAACAUGAAGGUACAGAUAUCUCUUCGACAGAGUAACUUUGUUUCUUUCAAAUAUAUACUCAGCAAUGGAGUUGUUGGAUCAUAUAGUAGUUCUAUUUUUAAUUUUUUGAGGAAUUUCCAUACUGUUUUCUAGGAUGGUUGUACCAGUU